GACGAACGCUGGCGGCGUGCUUAACACAUGCAAGUCGAACGGAAAGGCCCUGCUUUUGUGGGGUGCUCGAGUGGCGAACGGGUGCGUAACACGUGAGUAACCUGCCCUUGACUUUGGGAUAACUUCAGGAAACUGGGGCUAAUACCGGAUAGGAGCUCCUGCUGCAUGGUGGGGGUUGGAAAGUUUCGGCGGUUGGGGAUGGACUCGCGGCUUAUCAGCUUGUUGGUGGGGUAGUGGCUUACCAAGGCUUUGACGGGUAGCCGGCCUGAGAGGGUGACCGGCGACAUUGGGACUGAGAGACGGCCCAGACUCCUACGGGAGGCAGCAGUGGGGAAUAUUGCACAAUGGGCGGAAGCCGGAUGCAGCAACGCCGCGGGCGGGAUGACGGCCUUCGGGUUGUAAACCGCUUUCGCCUGUGACGAAGCGUGAGUGACGGUAAUGGGUAAAGAAGCACCGGCUAACUACGUG
RNAcentral lists this ribosomal RNA (468 nucleotides) under uncultured bacterium. RNAcentral describes it as "partial 16S ribosomal RNA". It matches the Rfam family "Bacterial small subunit ribosomal RNA", at positions 28 to 507 of the family's 1533-position model. The record is from RNAcentral.